GACGAACGCUGGCGGCGUGCUUAACACAUGCAAGUCGAACGGAAAGGCCCUGCUUUUGUGGGGUGCUCGAGUGGCGAACGGGUGAGUAACACGUGAGUAACCUGCCCUUGACUUUGGGAUAACUUCAGGAAACUGGGGCUAAUACCGGAUAGGAGCUCCUGCUGCAUGGUGGGGGUUGGAAAGUUUCGGCGGUUGGGGAUGGACUCGCGGCCUAUCAGCUUGUUGGUGGGGUAGUGGCUUACCAAGGCUUUGACGGAUAGCCGGCCUGAGAGGGUGACCGGGCACAUUGGGACUGAGAUACGGCCCAGACUCCUACGGGAGGCAGCAGUGGGGAAUAUUGCACAAUGGGCGGAAGCCUGAUGCAGAAACGCCGCGUGCGGGAUGACGGCCUUCGGGUUGUAAACCGCUUUCGCCUGUGACGAAGCGUGAGUGACGGUAAUGGGUAAAGAAGCACCGGCUAACUACGUG
This 468-nucleotide ribosomal RNA is filed under the name uncultured bacterium. RNAcentral's name for it is "partial 16S ribosomal RNA". It matches the Rfam family "Bacterial small subunit ribosomal RNA", at positions 28 to 507 of the family's 1533-position model. The record is from RNAcentral.